Molecule: transfer RNA, 77 nt
Filed under: Clostridia bacterium
Lineage: Bacteria; Bacillati; Bacillota; Clostridia
Also listed under: 1 other name
Description: tRNA-Ala
Rfam family: tRNA
About the family: Transfer RNA (tRNA) molecules are approximately 80 nucleotides in length. Their secondary structure includes four short double-helical elements and three loops (D, anti-codon, and T loops).
Source: RNAcentral
GGGCCUGUAGCUCAGCUUGGGAGAGCGUACGGUUCGCAUCCGUAAGGUCGAGGGUUCGAUCCCCUUCAGGUCCACCA